GUCAGCUUUGCCGGGAGCUGGUCGGCAAGCAUUUGUAGCAAGCCAGCUGGAGAGGGCUGGGGUGCCUGCCUGUCUCAGAAUGGCCUCCACGCAGGGCUCUCCCUGACUCCACUCUCCUUUCCAAGUCACCUCACACCACAGUGAAAGCAGCAGAGGACUCAGUGGCCCAAAUGCAGGGGAGUCCAUUCCUCUGAUUCCUCUACCAAUGACACCCACUUCCUGCAGGCAUCAGGGCUGAGCCAGGCAUGGGCCAUGCCCUGCCCACUCCAGUGAGAUGGGUCAUUCACGCUGGGAAACCCACGUUACAUGGGACAUCAAGCCGGCUAACCUGCAUUCCCCAAGAUUCAUAUGCUGAGUCUUAACCCCCAGCAGCACAGAACGUGACUGUAUUUGCGGUAGCGCCUUUAAGGAGCUAAUGGAGGUGAAAUGGGGUCACUGGGGUGGCUCCUAAUGUAGUGGGACUGAUGUCCUCUUAAGGAGAGGAAAUUUGGACAGUGACACACACAGAGGCACAACCUUGGGAGGUCACAGGGUGGAGAUGGCAUCCACAAGCCAAGGAGAGAAGCCUCAGGAGAAACCAGCCCUGCAGACACCGUGGACUUGGACUUCCAGCUGCCAGAAUGGGUCCUGACUGCCAGGACAAAAGCCAAAAGCCAUGCUGGAAGCUGUGGGAGGUACAAAGAGAAACACAACCAGCUGGAAAGCACUUCCAGGCCAGCGGUGAAAGGAAAAACAAGAUGUCCAUGAGGCCGGAGAGAUGCAGUCCCAAAGCUUCUGGGGAACUCCACGAAUAAAGUCGACCUGGAGCUGGCAGAGACCACCACGUGGAGAAGGCAGAGCUGGAAGGUGGGGCUGGGCCCAUCUUGAGCACACAGUUAGCACCCUAGGAUCUAACUAUGUCUCAGGAUGUCCUAGAAAUUAAAUUAUAAGAGCCAAGAAA
RNAcentral lists this long non-coding RNA (940 nucleotides) under Homo sapiens (human). RNAcentral describes it as "HSALNT0270142". Lineage: Eukaryota; Metazoa; Chordata; Mammalia; Primates; Hominidae. The record is from RNAcentral.